RNAcentral lists this ribosomal RNA (330 nucleotides) under uncultured bacterium. RNAcentral's name for it is "bacterial SSU rRNA". It matches the Rfam family "Bacterial small subunit ribosomal RNA", at positions 568 to 898 of the family's 1533-position model. The record is from RNAcentral.
CGCGUAGGCGGCUUGCCAAGUCAGUGGUGAAAUCCCGCAGCUUAACUGUGGAAGUGCCUUUGAUACUGGCGAGCUCGAGGGAGGUAGGGGUAUGUGGAACUUCUGGUGGAGCGGUGAAAUGCGUUGAUAUCAGAAGGAACGCCGGUGGCGAAAGCGACGUACUGGACCUUCUCUGACGCUGAGGCGCGAAAGCUAGGGGAGCAAACGGGAUUAGAUACCCCGGUAGUCCUAGCCCUAAACGUUGGGUACUAGGUUGUGGACUUACAUGGGUUCACAGCCGAAGCAAAAGUGUUAAGUACCCCGCCUGGGGAGUAUGGUCGCAAGGCUGAA